Molecule: non-coding RNA, 454 nt
Filed under: Pan troglodytes (chimpanzee)
Lineage: Eukaryota; Metazoa; Chordata; Mammalia; Primates; Hominidae
Source: RNAcentral
GCAUGACCGAGGGGAGGCACGCGCUGACCCAGGAGACAGACGGCCAGACACAGCCCGUACUGCACGGCCAGACCCGUUGUCACCCCUGGGACUCCCAAACAGAGGAGACGGCAAGACCCAACCAUGCUCCAAGGGGCUGCGGGCAGCAGAAGGCCUGGGCAAGGAGUGCAUCUCAUCAGGGGGGAUUCCCGCUCCUCCCCCAACCUUCGCGGCUGUGCCUGAGCCCCUCCUCCUCCUGCAGGAAGCCUUCCCUGAGCACAGACCCCCAGCAGCCGCUCAGACCUGAGGUCUGCAGGGGACCACUCUCCUGGACCCGCAGAUGCAUCUCCAGGUUUUGCACAGGCCCAGCUGGCUGCCCAGCAGAGCCACAGAUGGCCACUCUCCCCCACCUAGACACCUUGGGAUAAAAAUAAAGGAACGCCUCUCAGCUCGGGCCCUGCAAGAGCCACCUGCA